CACGAUAAACAUGACAACAAAUGAGACGGAGCGCUGAGCUGUUAGUGCUCCAUUAGUACAUAUCCAGGCAGGCUUCAAUGGCAGUUCCAUCUACAUAUAUACUUGUCAGCAUGAACUUCUCCACCUGGGAGAGGGAAGCUGGGCAGCUGGGGGAGAAGAGAUGGAUCAUCACAAAACACUUCAUAGCAGAGGCGCAGACACCCAAAGGCCAGCCCUGUCCUGCUGAUGAGGCUCCUAGUGGGGCUGGAGUGAUGUAUCACUCUUCCCCUGGCAUACACUUCUCUCGAGCCCAGUUAUUGUGACAGCAAAUAUUCUAUACAAUAUCUGCAUUAUGCCACCAGCUCUUGUGAAAGAGAGGAGCCAUUACUUGGGGUCCAGGGCUGUGUGACAGUCAUACCAUCUGCGGAACCCAAGAGGUUGUGGAUUCUGGGGAGAGAUGUGAGAUCUAUCACAGGUGUGCUUUUCAGGG
Long non-coding RNA from Brienomyrus brachyistius, 469 nucleotides. RefSeq lists it as uncharacterized. The record is from RefSeq and is a predicted model, not a curated record. The transcript is spliced from 3 exons. Lineage: Eukaryota; Metazoa; Chordata; Actinopteri; Osteoglossiformes; Mormyridae.